Clostridium sp. is the source of this 102-nucleotide non-coding RNA. NCBI's taxonomy places the organism in Bacteria, Bacillati, Bacillota, Clostridia, Eubacteriales, Clostridiaceae. The record is from Rfam.
GAUACAAAUAAAAAUAUCAUCCAUAUAAUCUCAAUAAUAAGGUUUGAGAGUUUCUACAAGAGAACCAUAAAUUCUCUAUCUAUGGAUGAAUCUUAGCUAUGC